GUUUUAAUAAUUUAAAAUAAAAAUAUUGGUCUUGUAAACCAAAAACAAGGAAACCCUUUUAAAACU
RNAcentral lists this transfer RNA (66 nucleotides) under Rhinotermes hispidus. RNAcentral's name for it is "tRNA-Thr". It matches the Rfam family "tRNA". Rfam says of the family: Transfer RNA (tRNA) molecules are approximately 80 nucleotides in length. Their secondary structure includes four short double-helical elements and three loops (D, anti-codon, and T loops). Lineage: Eukaryota; Metazoa; Arthropoda; Insecta; Blattodea; Rhinotermitidae. The record is from RNAcentral.